Equus caballus (horse) is the source of this 1737-nucleotide non-coding RNA. NCBI's taxonomy places the organism in Eukaryota, Metazoa, Chordata, Mammalia, Perissodactyla, Equidae. The record is from RefSeq and is a predicted model, not a curated record.
GGGCGGCUCUGUUUAAGAGAGCUUCCCUUCUGUCGAUAAGCAGUGGGUGGAACGAUCGCCAAGAAGCGGUGUAAGAGAAGCAAACCAGCCCCUGGGCGGGGCGUAUUUAUGCCAGCGUUGUGUAAAAGAACAAAGAGGGAGGGGCUGCAUACAUAUUCAUAGGCGUCCAGGGUCCUCAAGGAAGGGGCGAUUUUGCCCUUGGCCUACCUCCGCCCCUCCUCCCCCAGGGAUAUUUGGCAAUGCCUGAAGACAUUUUUGGUUGUCACGAUUUGGAGGUGGGGAGUGUCCUACUGGCAUCUGGUUGCUAGAGACGUGGGAUGCUGCUAAACAUCCUACUGUGUACAGGACAGCCCCCUCCCUGCCCAGCAAAGAACCAUCCAGCCUAACGUCAGUUGUGCUGAGGUUGGGAAACCCUGAUAUACAGGAAUAAAAUAAAACUCCAGGCUGGUGGAUCUCAGCUCAGUCUAAGAGAUUUCACCUCUCUGUGCCUCUGUUUCUCCAUCUGUAAAAUGGGUACAAUAUAAUAAAUCUGUCUAUGUGUUAUAUGCAUAUGCACUGAAGGAAAAGGGGGAAGGAAUGCAGGCUUUUCACUGUGAACUUUCCUUCUUUGUUCUAUUUGAAUUUUUUUUUACUGUCUGUAUAUAUUACCUGUUUAAAAUAAAUUUCUGGGAUAGUUACAACCAUAACAGCAAACAUUUCGUAUAUAUAUAUUUCCCUGCUAAGUGCCAAGUGUUGCUCUAAACACUUUAUAUUCACACAUUUAAACCUUUAAUAACCUUGCAAUAAGUCUUUUAUCAUCUUCAUUUUACAGAUAAGGAAAUUGAGGCGCACAGAUCUUAAGCACUGUCAUUAGCCCAUGGCCAGCCAUGAGUUCUUCAUAACUCAUUCAUUAAUUCAGUCACAGGUCCACUACGUGGCGGAAAGUGCUGGAACUGACAAAAUGAAACCCCCUGCCUCUGGGGAGCCAGCUGUUCCUGGUCUGGAAACAAUAGAACCAUGUUGUCUAGUGUUUACUGUGCCCGUAUUAGAGGCUUUGUAACUGCAGGAACCCUGCUGCGUGUUUAUAAUGUCCCUUUAUGGGUGGAGAAAUGGAGAUCAAAGGAAGAGAGCUGAAUGGACCACAUGUUUAAGAACAUUCUAGCAACCGGAUUUCCUGAGCGCCCUGUGCUGGGCACUGGGGGUCAGCAGUCUGUUCCAGGUGGGGAGAUGCUCAGAUUUCGAGAGGCGUGUUGGAACGAGGACCCACCGAAGGAGCAACAGAACACCUGUGAGAAAAGAAGGACAUCAACAACUUUGAGUUGAAAGUGAUCUGAAAGAUCAAGACCCGGAAUGCAAAGAAGUUUUAGAUGAAUAGAUGAAUUUAGAAUAGAUGAAUUUCUAUUAUGUUUUCUUUUUGUGAUACUCACAAGAUUGAUACACUGAAAAAAAAAAAACGAUUAUGUCUAAAUAAGUCCAAAAUGGUUCUUUCAAUACAUGUGAAAUAAAAACUCUAAGGGACGAGAAAGCAGCUGUGUUGUAUUUGAACGGAUGGUAUUUCUCUUUUUGUUUCUCGGAUCAUAAAAUUGUGGUGCGUCUCGCCAUCUGUGAGGUCUGAGGCUGAGGAAAUAGGAAAGUUGGGUUCGUGUGGCUCGUGUGAUUGGAAGGCUUGACCCCACUUCAGCAGAAUUUCAGAGCUGUCCUCUGCGACCUUAGAAACUGAGGAUGGGGGUCUGAGAAGCUUGACUUGGGAAUCAGAGA